This is a long non-coding RNA of Sphaerodactylus townsendi, 713 nucleotides long. RefSeq lists it as uncharacterized. Lineage: Eukaryota; Metazoa; Chordata; Lepidosauria; Squamata; Sphaerodactylidae. The transcript is spliced from 2 exons. The record is from RefSeq and is a predicted model, not a curated record.
CUCUCCCCCCCCCUCUCUCUCUGGUUACCUCAGCUAGGAUUGCAAGGCCUCAGAACUGGAGAUGAGAAGAGAUUAACUGCACAUUAUUUCCUCUCCUGAAUGUUGUUCUUAUUGCCAGGAAAGCACCAAAUCUUGCUCCCUCUCUGGUCUGCAUCUCAACUUCUUAGGCCUCCUGCCUGGCAAGCUGCAUGUCGUUGUGGUGGGACCUGGAGUUGCAUUGGGCUCAGUGAUCAAGGGGAGAUGGAAUUCUCCCAGUGAGCUUUGUGGACCACCAUUUAUAUAUUCUAAUAGCCAGGGCGACCAAAUCUGAGGGUACUUAAAUCCAGAGGCUGGACCCAUGAAAGGACAAGAUACAUCUUUUUACAAACCUGAAAAAAAUACUCCAGUUACCAAUCUGAGAUGAUAAAACCACGUGUAAGAGAUAUGAAGAGAAGCCAACUGAGAAGAGAAGAUUGUUAUUUGCUGAAGACACUUUAAUAAUGCUAGUUGUACUGACACCUUGAAUAUCUCCCAAGUAGAUGGUUUUGUUAAUACUCUUUGUUUUUCUGCUGGAUAACUUUGAUUCCUAGAGUUGCAGACUAGCAUUGUAUGUUGGGGUUUUUUGUACACGGAGUGUGCUUUAUUUUCAGUACAGUGUUACAUAGUAUAACGGAUUUUGUACAGAUGACUCCUUAUGUAUAAAUCCGAAUAAAAUGGAUAUCUUGAAAAGACAA